This is a non-coding RNA of Pelobates cultripes (western spadefoot toad), 203 nucleotides long. NCBI's taxonomy places the organism in Eukaryota, Metazoa, Chordata, Amphibia, Anura, Pelobatidae. The record is from the annotation of a GenBank genome assembly.
AGUGAGGGCUGGAGUGUGGUGUACCAGGGAGGUCUGGUAUAGAGGCACUGAGGGCAGGAGUGUGGGGUGUCCGCGAGGUCUGGUAUAGGGGCAGUGAGGGCUGGAGUGUGGUGUACCAGGGAGGUCUAGUAUAGAGGCACUGAGAUCAGGAGUGUGGGGUGUCCGCGAGGUCUGGUAUAGGGGCAGUGAGGGCUGGAGUGUGG